GACGAACGCUGGCGGCGUGCUUAACACAUGCGAGUCGAACGGAAAGGCCCUGCUUUUGUGGGGUGCUCGAGUGGCGAACGGGUGAGUAACACGUGAGUAACCUGCCCUUGACUUUGGGAUAACUUCAGGAAACUGGGGCUAAUACCGGAUAGGAGCUCCUGCUGCAUGGUGGGGGUUGGAAAGUUUCGGCGGUUGGGGAUGGACUCGCGGCUUAUCAGCUUGUUGGUGGGGUAGUGGCUUACCAAGGCUUUGACGGGUAGCCGGCCUGAGAGGGUGACCGGCCACAUUGGGACUGAGAUACGGCCCAGACUCCUACGGGAGGCAGCAGUGGGGAAUAUUGCUCAAUGGGCGGAAGCCUGAUGCAGCAACGCCGCGUGCGGGAUGACGGCCUUCGGGUUGUAAACCGCUUUCGCCUGUGACGAAGCGUGAGUGACGGUAAUGGGUAAAGAAGCACCGGCUAACUACGUG
Molecule: ribosomal RNA, 468 nt
Filed under: uncultured bacterium
Lineage: Bacteria
Description: partial 16S ribosomal RNA
Rfam family: Bacterial small subunit ribosomal RNA
Source: RNAcentral